This 31-nucleotide non-coding RNA is filed under the name Homo sapiens (human). Lineage: Eukaryota; Metazoa; Chordata; Mammalia; Primates; Hominidae. The record is from RNAcentral.
UGGGUAGCCUAGGUUUCUAUCUUGAGACCGA